UCGCUGUGUGUUAUAUGUGUCACACGGGACUGCCGGUCUUAAGCCGGAGGAAGUGGGGAUGAUGUCAAGUCAGCAUGGCCUUUAUAUCCUGGGCUACGCACACGCUACAAUGGCCAACACAAUAGGUUGCUAAGCCGCGAGGUGGCGCCAAUCCAUAAAGUUGGUCUCAGUUCAGAUUGUAGGCUGCAACCCGCCUGCAUGAAGAUGGAGUUGCUAGUAACCGCAGGUCAGCUAUACUGCGGUGAAUACGUUCCCGGGGCUU
Molecule: ribosomal RNA, 262 nt
Filed under: uncultured Leptolinea sp.
Lineage: Bacteria; Bacillati; Chloroflexota; Anaerolineae; Anaerolineales; Anaerolineaceae
Description: partial 16S ribosomal RNA
Rfam family: Bacterial small subunit ribosomal RNA
Source: RNAcentral